RNAcentral lists this ribosomal RNA (121 nucleotides) under uncultured bacterium. RNAcentral describes it as "partial 16S ribosomal RNA". It matches the Rfam family "Bacterial small subunit ribosomal RNA", at positions 628 to 748 of the family's 1533-position model. The record is from RNAcentral.
UGAAACUGGNGUUCUUGAGGGCAGGAGAGGAAAGCAGAAUUCCUGGUGUAGCGGUGAAAUGCGUAGAAAUCAGGAGGAAUACCAGUGGCGAAGGCGGCUGCCUGGACUGUCCCUGACGCUG